AUUUUCGAUUCGUCUUGAUAUUAUCGUAGUAGUUAUCGAUGUUUCUCAUGGAUUUAUGACCUAAUUUCGAUAAGUCUCUUUUAAUCAUGCGGAGGGUCUGUUAUCUUUUUCUUUUCAUUAUGCAUUCUCCAUAUUUCAUAAUCCAUGGAGAAUAAAGUACAAGAAACCAUAAACUUAUUCAAAUUUCGUGGUUCAAUGUGAAAAUUAGUGGAGCAAACUUUUUGACAUAUUCGUUACAAUCGUUGUGAAUAUUAACUACUGAAAUUACCAGUAGUUAGUCACUCGUACAAUAUGGUGUCUAAAGUUGAUAGUUUCGUGGUUUUGUUACUAGAUUUGUUUAAGCGUUAAGUUUGAAGCAAAAGACAAAUAAUACUGGAAGGAAAAGGGUUGACCCUUCAUAUCGGACGCUUUUAAGGGUUAUCUCUUUAUCAGUAGCGUUUUAUCUUUUCCAACGUUUAUACGAGUAAUAAACUAACAAUGCUCGUCAUUAAGAAGGAAUAAUUGCUUGAAAAUUCUUGCAACAGGCGAUCUUGCAUCAGAACAUUGAGGUUUUGUUGUUUCUGAUAUUGUUCGUCAAUAUAUUGGGACAGAAUGUUGAUGUACAAUCUAAUAUUUUUUAGAGUAUAAGAGAAUGCGUUGGAUAAUAAAAGUAAAUCGGCAAAUAUAACGUGAGUACGUAAGCAUCUGUUCACAAUUUAAUGAUCGUGCAGUCGUAAAAAAAAAGCGAAAGGAAAAGUGAAGGAGUAUCAAUUUGCGUAUUAGAUUGGUAGAUGGUUCAUUUUCAUUUUUUAAAUAAUCACUAUUUUCUCGGUAUGUGCUGCAUAAGUAAAUUAUUCGACGAAGGACAGUAAUAAUCAUAAAAUGGAUGUUGUAAUAGUUUAAAACUAUUACUCAUUUCAUAAUUCUUUUAAGAUAAUAAUAAUAAUAACAAAUUUUUUACUCGAUUUGUAUUUGAAUUUUCUGCGAUUUGCAUAUCUAUUAACAUCUUACUAAAGUUAGUAUUCUAUUAUUAAACAAUGUUUACGAAGUACGAUCCAGAAUACGACUAAAAUCAAAAUACAAGUUAAGAUUAAUACUCUGUUUUGAUCUAACAUGAACAACACAUAAGACUCAGAUCAUCGAUUUUAUCAAAAUUUCGUAGGAAUAUAGUAUUGGUAUAGAAAUAAUAAAUGCUAUUUGGAGACGAUUCAGUACUCUAUGAUUGAAGAGAAAUCAGUUUAAAUUUUACCAUACUGCUUUAGUAUCUCGGCAAUAUAUCAUUUUCUAAGUAUUAGCGUGAUUUAGAAGGAAAAACAUUAGAAAAACCUAAAAAUAAAUAUUUCAAGGAAUAUUAAUUUUAAUAAUACACUUGAUAGAUGAGUUACUGCCGUGAUACUAAAACAUUGUGGUAAAAUUCAAACAGCGAUUUUUUUUUCAACAGUUGAGUAAUGCAUCAUUUCUGAAUAGCAUUUGUUAAUUCUAUAGCAAUACUAUAAAUCUUACAAAAUUUCGACAAAAUUGAUGACCGAGUCUUGCGUGUUGUCUAUGUAAGUCUAGAUUCUAUAUGACGUUCUGUGGCAUCAUCGAGUGAAGCCACAAGACGACGGCAGCAUAGGAAAGUGGUAGAUAGCUGGUAAAACGAGAAGAAUGCUAUAGAAAAUGGUAGUGGAGGAGGAGGAAGAGAAGAAGAACGGAGGGCAGUACAUGAAGAGGGGAACCUGCUUGCUCGAGGACCAGGCAAAGGCCCUUGUCUUCUAUUAUGCCUUGGUUGAGCUGACGUCAGUGAUAGAUACCUUUCCUGGCAUUAUAUACACCCAUACUACCGGCAUCUACCUUUUACACAGUGCAGCCUUACCCGAACCUCUUCGUACCUACGCCCUUUUUACGUGCGUCAGCCUGCAGAUACAUCAUGGCGACCGCAUCGACCUGGAAACACGAGAAUUCUCUUCUGCUUCCUGUCAGACGAGAUGCUACCGAGGAUCGCCAAUAUAAUGUCCAACUAGCGAUUGUUUUCCUGUAUGAAAGACAUAAUUCGCUGUAGUUUUUCUUUACGAGUGACUCGUCUCAAUGGAAUCCUUUCAAGACCUGAGACUCUACGUGUUCUAAUAGUUAAAUAAAUUGGAUUAUCAACUUGUAUUGCUACGGUCUAAAAUUGUUUAGGCCUGAUGCAGAUUCUUGUCGAACGAAGAGACUGUCUCGAACGCCUUCAAUUUACAACUAGGUAUUCAACAUUUUUGGUUUCUUUACAGUAAAUUGCCUUUUGAUACAUUGCCAAAGUUGAUUAGUCGCUUCUAUAUAUAUAUGUAUAUAUAUUAUAGAUACGUAUAACAAAAUGAGGAUUUGAUAAUGAUAUUCAUUUAUUUUUUCGUAUGUUUUUAUAUCGUUGAAUAUUUUUUCCAUUGAAGUGUCACUGUAUGCAAUUGUGUUUUUUAUACGUGUUUCUUCAUUUUUUGUUACUUCAUGUUUGUGAAACAUCAUAACAUAAUGUACGUAGGUCUGUUAGGAAGCUAAAAUGUCCUAAAUAAAAAACGAAAGAACGAGUUUAUUCUAUGAAUUUUUACUUGCUAAAUAAGAUUUGGAUCUGCAUAAUCAUUACCGACUAUGAAAUUCAUGAGCGAAUUGCAAUAAAUGCAUUUGGAGCUAUUGUUUCAACGUUAACUCAAGACGCUAAAUAAUAGUCAGUUUUUUUAUAAUUGUUAAAUGGCUUGAAACAUUUUCAUAGAUUUUUGAGCUUUACGUUGAUAUUUGAAAAGCAAAACCAAUGUCAUGGGAUGUAUAAUGUGCAGUGAGUUAUGUAUCAUUAAUAGAUAAUAUUAAUCAGAGUUUCUACAGGAUGAUUAUGGUACUUUGUUCGAUUGGAAUAAGUACGCGAUAAAAGUAAAAGUAUUGUUUUUAAUAAAAAACCAAAACGAAGAAAAAUUCCUUUGGUGGAUCAAGAAGAUACCAAUUUAUAUUGUAUAACAAAGAAAAUGUUCAGAACGAUGACAAAGACUAUAUAAAAACAUAAGCAACAUUAUUCUGCACUUUGCUUUUCUAUUAUUUUUUAAAUUAAUAUUUUCUAUUACAUUAACAUUAAUUUAAAUUACAUAAUAAAAAAGUUAUUUUUCGAGAAUAUAUUAAUAUAGUUUUUGUUAAAAAUGUAAAAAAUCUUUUGUAGAAAAUAAGUAUAAUUUUGUUUGAAGUAUUACAAUUAUUCUUCAAAAUUUUCUACAUUUCUAAAUGAAAUUCAAUUGAAUUGCGUACUUUUCGUUACGGCAGUGAUCAUCUUCAAUGCGUUACAGUGAAAAGUGAAAAUAUGUACUACCAGUGAAUGGACUAACGCAUCGACGGUCGGCCAUUGCACAAUUUACUCUCAAGGUCUCUAUCAAUAACGGAAAUUCUCGGUUACCUGAGCACGAACAGGAAAGGAUAAUAAAAACGGAAUUUUCUGGGCCGUUUUAUAUAAUUUGUACUAUGUAAUUACAAUGGUACACGAGUACGACGUACUAUGCUUGAGAGUUGGUUUGAAUUGUGGAAGAGAAAGAGGGGAAAGUGGCAAUGAUGGUCGAGAAAGAGGAAAAGAAAGGGAAAUAAGAGAGGGGAGCUCAAGACACAGUCAUGCCGUGAGCUAAGUUCGCGAAGGUGAUGUACAAAGAGCAGGUUAAAGAAAGAAAGCAAGAAACAUGGAAGAAAAUUUCUAGUUGCUCGAUAGGUAGAUUAAGGAAGAAACGAUUAAGUCUUGGUUAGGAACGGAGAAAAGUGGGAGAAGUCCUGAGAAACUGGCGUUUACUGCAACCUUAGUUCUGUACGAUCUAAAAGACACAAUCCGAUCCAAUGUUAACAAGCCAUCCUGUCUCUCGAAUUCUUCUUUUUUGGCAGUCAGGCAGGCAAGAUAUUGCUCUAGUAUCAUCAUUUUUCCGAUUUGUAUGAUAUAUUACGAUAAAAAUUAACAAAAAAUUUUAUUGUAAAUAUUAAGUAUCUGGAUCGUAAAAAACAGAAGAGUCUUCAAUAUUUUGUACUAUCUCACUGACACUUCCAGCAAUCUAUUGUUGCUUUAAAGAACUUCUUUGACGAGACAGAAUUUGCUCAAGGUCGUAAUAUAACACGCUUUAAUGCGAAACAAUCUUUCGAGACAGACUGUAAGAGCACUUCGUUGUCCGCUUAUAAGCUGGUCUCGUGGUAUGUAUGUAUAUAUAUAUGCAUCUAUUUGCUUUUAUGAGUUCUCUGACGUUUUCCUCAACAGCUUCUUUGUUGUACAAUAUAAAUUGAUCUUAUUUUGAUUCACUAAUGAUAUAUUUUUUGUUCUGUUUUGGCUUUUUAAUCGAAGUAUAACUUACUUUCUUUACGAGACUUUUUACGUGCUUAUUUCAGUAGGGUACAAUAACCGUUCCGUAGAAACUCUGGUUAAUAUUAUCGAUUAAUGACGUAAACUCAUUGGACGUCUCGUGAUAUUCGUUCUCGUUUUCAGUUAUUAACGGAAAACUCUGAAAUCUAUAACAAUGUUCUAAAUAAUUUGACAAUUAAAAAAAAUCAUUAUUAUAGAUAUUUCAUUUUGAGAUAUUAUUUCAUAGCAAUUAUUGCGAAAUUGUUUUACGAAUAAUAAUAAUGUUAUUUCGAAAUAGUUAUUUAUCAAAUAAUAUCCGAAUAUUUGUCUU
This is a long non-coding RNA of Vespa crabro (European hornet), 4613 nucleotides long. RefSeq lists it as uncharacterized. The transcript has 4 exons. NCBI's taxonomy places the organism in Eukaryota, Metazoa, Arthropoda, Insecta, Hymenoptera, Vespidae. The record is from RefSeq and is a predicted model, not a curated record.